UACGUAGGGCGCAAGCGUUAUCCGGAAUUAUUGGGCGUAAAGAGCUCGUAGGCGGUGUGUCGCGUCGGCCGUGAAAACCUGCAGCUCAACUGUGGGCUUGCGGUCGAUACGGGCAUCACUGGAGUUCGGCAGGGGAGACUGGAAUUCCUGGUGUAGCGGUGAAAUGCGCAGAUAUCAGGAGGAACACCGGUGGCGAAGGCGGGUCUCUGGGCCGAUACUGACGCUGAGGAACGAAAGCGUGGGGAGCAAACAGG
RNAcentral lists this ribosomal RNA (254 nucleotides) under uncultured bacterium. RNAcentral describes it as "partial 16S ribosomal RNA". It matches the Rfam family "Bacterial small subunit ribosomal RNA", at positions 524 to 776 of the family's 1533-position model. The record is from RNAcentral.